This is a non-coding RNA of Malus domestica (apple), 817 nucleotides long. The record is from RefSeq and is a predicted model, not a curated record. NCBI's taxonomy places the organism in Eukaryota, Viridiplantae, Streptophyta, Magnoliopsida, Rosales, Rosaceae.
CCCAGCCCAGCCCAGCCCAGCCGAACUGACAAGUUGACGCCUGAGUUCCCUUUCUUCUUUGGCACGAAUCGCACCAGUAGGCAGUAGCUCUUCCUCCUUCUCCCUCUCGCUUCUGUAACUACUGUUGUUUCAGUCGGCUUUUUGCUGGCUCUACCUUUGCUGCUACCUCUCCCACAAAUUUGGAAGCUCGCUCUCACAACACAACCUCAACCAUAACCAAAAGUUGCAACAAGCUUCUUAAUAUGGAUGCGGAUGCUGCAAAAAUUGCCCGGGAAUCUCUUGAACUAGCAUUUCAGAUGUCCAACAUUCUUGACACAGGGCUUGAUCGUCACACCCUUUCCAUCCUCAUUGCAUUAUGCGAUUUGGGUCUCAACCCUGAGGCAUUGGCUGCUGUUGUUAAGGAACUUCGAAGAGAAGUCAUUCCACUUGCGCCAUCAGAUGCUGCUCGUCCUGUACUUUGAACUGGUUUUUGUGUUUGGAUUGUUCGGUUUGAUUCACUUGUUGAUUUCUCUGGAACAUAAACAAUUGCGCGCUUGAAGUAUUCAUUCGAAGUGAGUCCCUUUUUCUAAGUUCGGGAGUUGUGAUUACAUCUCAUUAGUUGCCUUCAUCUUCUUUUCUCAACCCUAAUAUACUCAGUACAGAAUCAACAGCUCUCUCCAUCUCCAAAGGCCUAAAUUUUCCCUCACUUUCUCACAGAUUACUGAGUGCGCGAUUAAGUUAGUCUUGUUUGUUCUGUUUCUUGUGUGUUCUUCAUGACUUGGUUCAUCGGGCGUGAAAUAUGGCAGAGUUGCAUCAAAACGGCGCUCUCGGACCGCAG